AGGCCUACGGGACGCAGCAGUGGGGGAUAUUGCACAAUGGGGGGAACCCUGAUGCAGCGACGCCGCGUGAGUGAAGAAGUAUUUCGGUAUGUAAAGCUCUAUCAGCAGGGAAGAAAAUGACAGUACCUGACUAAGAAGCCCCGGCUAACUACGUGCCAGCAGCCGCGGUAAUACGUAGGGGGCAAGCGUUAUCCGGAUUUACUGGGUGUAAAGGGAGCGUAGACGGCUGUGCAAGUCAGAAGUGAAAGCCCGGGGCUCAACCGCGGGACUGCUUUUGAAACUGUGUAGCUGGAGGGCAGGAGAGG
RNAcentral lists this ribosomal RNA (305 nucleotides) under uncultured bacterium. Its description in RNAcentral is "bacterial SSU rRNA". It matches the Rfam family "Bacterial small subunit ribosomal RNA", at positions 335 to 657 of the family's 1533-position model. The record is from RNAcentral.